This is a long non-coding RNA of Brassica napus (rape), 1496 nucleotides long. RefSeq lists it as uncharacterized. The transcript is spliced from 5 exons. Lineage: Eukaryota; Viridiplantae; Streptophyta; Magnoliopsida; Brassicales; Brassicaceae. The record is from RefSeq and is a predicted model, not a curated record.
UGUGCAAUGUGGGCUUAUGUUUGUGUCUGGGCUUUAGCUUAUUGUCGCUUCCUAUAACCAGAAGCCCUAAUAUUAUUGUUCCGCUCCCCAUCUGAUUCCUACGCUCAUUAGCUUGAUCCCAACGACGUCUCUCCCCCUCUGCCUCCCAUCUCCGGCGAUGCCCCCACCACCAUGCCGCCGGAGUUCAAUCCCUACGUCUCUCCUUCACCUGCCCCCAAGAAUACGAUGGACUCUGUGCCGUAAUUUUCAGACGACAUCUCAAAGAUCCGUCACGAGUUUGAUUUGGCGAAACAGAGGUUCCUCAAUACCUCUAAAGCUCUAAUUAAUAUGCCUAAGAUGCAAUCCUCAAGGUUUGCCAUUGACUAAAACAACUCUUUUGGGUUUCCUGUUGAUCGUUGAUUCUCAAUAUUGAUUUUGUUGAUUCAUACUAUGUUGACAUGAAUCUCAGAUUAGAUAGCAAGUUUACAGAAUGACUAGAUUACACAUUCGCAUAUUAUUCCUAUGAUUUGAUAUAUGAUUUUUCCAAGCAGACAGUGUUAAUGAGGUAAUAUAUAUCACCUUUUUGUUUUUUUUUAUGUUUCAUUGACACGCUUGGGAUGGGGAAAAAUGGCAGCAAGAUCGAGAGAUACUGAGACAGGCGAUCAGGAAGAUGACAUCCACGGCCAUAAUUAUUGCCAGAUUUUUAAUAUGACGCACCAUACUGUCGUUUUGCAUAUGCAGACUAAUACCAAGAGGUUGUUCUUGCUACUAUCUUGCCGGAAAAUCCUGGAAGCUUUAAGAAAUUCUGUGAACUGGUUGUUGUUGUUAUUCGUUCUCUAAUCCAGACAAUGUUGUGUAUUGAUGCUUAGUGUUGGAGUGCACACUCCCAGAGAGCUCAAAACAUUAGAGAAGAGAAUGGAAUCUUCCUAGCUCAGAACUAGGAGCCUCACAACCAGUGACUUAGUAAGAAAUUACUUGCGUUAUUUGAUGGGUGGAAGAUCGGUAUUGGAGAAGAGUUUCUCUACCAGUUCAGCUUCCCUGAGAGACAUGGUGCUCUGAUGAACUUCUUGGACUCUUUCAGUCCACGUUGGAACAUUAGCCUUUUCCAUAAUAAACCCAUAGGGUGGGGCAGGCACGAACGUGCUGGUCAGGAUCCAAGUGCCGGAGCAAAACAUGGCGUAUUUCAAAACCCGAGCUCAAGUUCUUGGACACGAGUACGUCUUGGUAAGUGAAGACACUGUUUUCAAGCUUUUUGUGCACUGAGUUUAAAGCUGUGAUGAAGAGACCAAAACCAAGAAGGAAGUAGAAGAAUACAUGAGAUGUCUUCUUGAGCUCUCUGUUAGAAACAUCUGUGAGUCUUGGAUCUGUUGGAUGGGAUUUUAUGUCACGGGCCUAUUAUGCUAGCCCAAUAUGUAACAUUUAUUGCAUGUGAGCUCUCAUCGUUUUAAUGUAGACUUUCGAUACUUUUCAGCAAAUACAUUGUAGUUAUUGUUUAAUGAUAACACAAUCUCAUCUCA